CAGGAGGUUGACUAAGAUAAUGAUAGUCCUGAUGAGGACAGUUAUGAUGAGUUGUGAUAUUGAUUGUAUUCUUUGCAUUCAUUCCUUCUUGCGCAUCGCCUAUCACCAGUAUGCACCUAUAUUUAUCAGUCGGUAUGGGAUGAUUGCAUUUAUAUGUAUGAAGAAUAUACCUUUUGUUAUUGUAUGUUGAUUGGACCUUCCAACCCUUGGGCGGUGGGCGUACGCAUAGGC
This 231-nucleotide long non-coding RNA is filed under the name Capsicum annuum. RNAcentral's name for it is "long non-coding RNA (CANN_LNC017266)". The record is from RNAcentral. Lineage: Eukaryota; Viridiplantae; Streptophyta; Magnoliopsida; Solanales; Solanaceae.